This 274-nucleotide ribosomal RNA is filed under the name uncultured bacterium. RNAcentral's name for it is "partial 16S ribosomal RNA". It matches the Rfam family "Bacterial small subunit ribosomal RNA", at positions 523 to 796 of the family's 1533-position model. The record is from RNAcentral.
AUACGGAGGGUCCGAGCGUUAUCCGGAAUCAUUGGGUUGAAAGGGUCCGUAGGCGGGAAUCUAAGUCAGUGGUGAAAUCUUGCAGCUCAACUGUAAAAUUGCCAUUGAUACUGGAUUUCUUGAAUUAGUGUGAAGUGGUUAGAAUGUGUAGUGUAGCGGUGAAAUGCAUAGAUAUUACACAGAAUACCAAUUGCGAAGGCAGAUCACUAACACUAUAUUGACGCUAAGGGACGAAAGCGUGGGGAGCGAACAGGAUUAGAAACCCUAGUAGUCC